Molecule: transfer RNA, 77 nt
Filed under: Actinoplanes octamycinicus
Lineage: Bacteria; Bacillati; Actinomycetota; Actinomycetes; Micromonosporales; Micromonosporaceae
Description: tRNA-Ser
Source: RNAcentral
CGCUGUCCCGGGCCGGCCUGGCCCGGCGGAUCGAGCCGGCCGGCAGCCCGGCCCGGUUCGAGGCCCGGGCCGGCGAC